UACGAAGGGGGCUAGCGUUGCUCGGAAUCACUGGGCGUAAAGCGCACGUAGGCGGGUUAUCAAGUUGGAGGUGAAAGCCCAGAGCUCAACCUUGGAAUUGCCUUCAAAACUGAUAGCCUAGAGUAUGGAAGAGGUAAGUGGAACUCCGAGUGUAGAGGUGAAAUUCGUAGAUAUUCGGAAGAACACCAGUGGCGAAGGCGACUUACUGGUCCAUGACUGACGCUGAGGCUCGAAAGCGUGGGGAGCAAACAGG
RNAcentral lists this ribosomal RNA (253 nucleotides) under uncultured bacterium. RNAcentral's name for it is "partial 16S ribosomal RNA". It matches the Rfam family "Bacterial small subunit ribosomal RNA", at positions 524 to 776 of the family's 1533-position model. The record is from RNAcentral.